UUGGAGGGCAAGUCUGGUGCCAGCAGCCGCGGUAAUUCCAGCUCCAAUAGCGUAUAUUAAAGUUGUUGCAGUUAAAAAGCCUCGUAGUUGAAUUUCGGGGUCAGUAGAUUGGUCGUGCCACUGGUAUGUACUGGUCUUACUGGCUCCUCCUUCCUGAUGAACCGUAAUGCCAUUAAUUUGGUGUUGCGGGGAGACUGGACUGUUACUUUGAAAAAAUUAGAGUGUUUAAAGCAGGCUAACGCUUGAAUACAUUAGCAUGGAAUAAUGAAAUAGGACGUUCGAUCUUAUUUUGUUGGUUUCUAGGAUUGACGUAAUGAUUAAUAGGGAUAGUUGGGGGCAUUAGUAUUCAAUUGUCAGAGGUGAAAUUCUUGGAUUUAUUGAAGACUAACUACUGCGAAAGCAUUUGCCAAGGAUGUUUUCAUUAAUCAAGAACGAAAGUUAGGGGAUCGAAGACGAUCAGAUACCGUCGUAGUCUUAACCAUAAACUAUGCCGACUAGGGAUCGGAUGAUGUUAAUUUUUUAAUGACUCAUUCGGCGCCUUACGGGAAAC
Molecule: ribosomal RNA, 550 nt
Filed under: uncultured Glomus
Lineage: Eukaryota; Fungi; Glomeromycota; Glomeromycetes; Glomerales; Glomeraceae
Description: SSU rRNA
Rfam family: Eukaryotic small subunit ribosomal RNA
Source: RNAcentral